RNAcentral lists this ribosomal RNA (887 nucleotides) under Combea mollusca. RNAcentral describes it as "LSU rRNA". It matches the Rfam family "Eukaryotic large subunit ribosomal RNA", at positions 40 to 943 of the family's 3401-position model. Lineage: Eukaryota; Fungi; Ascomycota; Arthoniomycetes; Arthoniales; Opegraphaceae. The record is from RNAcentral.
AUAUCAAUAAGCGGAGGAAAAGAAACCAACAGGGAUUGCCCCAGUAGCGGCGAGCGAAGCGGCAAGAGCUCAAAUUUGAAAUCUGGUCCCUCCGGGGUCCGAGUUGUAAUUUGUAGAGGAUGCUUCGGCUUCGGCUCCGGGAUAGGUCCCCUGGAACGGGGCGCCACAGAGGGUGAGAGCCCCGUAUUCGCCCGGGCGGCCGUCGCCGUGUGAAGCUCCUUCGAAGAGUCGAGUUGUUUGGGAAUGCAGCUCUAAGCGGGAGGUAUAUUUCUUCUAAAGCUAAAUACCGGCCAGAGACCGAUAGCGCACAAGUAGAGUGAUCGAAAGAUGAAAAGCACUUUGGAAAGAGAGUUAAAAAGCACGUGAAAUUGUUGAAAGGGAAGCUCUUGCCGCCAGACUUGCCCCGGUUGCUCAGCCGUCCCAAGGGUCGGUGCACUCCUCCGGUGGCAGGCCAGCGUCAGUUCGGGCGGUCGGACAAAGGCCGUGGGAAUGUAGCCCCCCUCGGGGGGUGUUAUAGCCCGCGGUGCAAUGCGGCCAGCCCGGUCUGAGGAACGCGUUCGCGAGGACGUUGGCGUAAUGGCGGCAAGCGACCCGUCUUGAAACACGGACCAAGGAGUCUAACAUCUGUGCGAGUGUUUGGGCGUCAAACCCAUGCGCGCAAUUAAAGUGAACGGAGGUUGGAACCCCCCAGAGGGGUGCACAAUCGACCGAUCCUGAUGUCUUCGGAUGGAUUUGAGUAAGAGCAUAGCUGUUGGGACCCGAAAGAUGGUGAACUUUGCCUGGACAGGGCGAAGCCAGAGGAAACUCUGGUGGAGGCUCGCAGCGGUUCUGUACGUGCAAAUCGAUCGUCAAAUCUUGGCAAAGGGGCGAAAGACUAAUCGAACCAU